This 496-nucleotide ribosomal RNA is filed under the name uncultured bacterium. RNAcentral describes it as "partial 16S ribosomal RNA". It matches the Rfam family "Bacterial small subunit ribosomal RNA", at positions 28 to 506 of the family's 1533-position model. The record is from RNAcentral.
GAUGAACGCUGGCGGCGUGCCUAAUACAUGCAAGUCGAGCGAACAGACGAGGAGCUUGCUCCUCUGACGUUAGCGGCGGACGGGUGAGUAACACGUGGAUAACCUACCUAUAAGACUGGGAUAACUUCGGGAAACCGGAGCUAAUACCGGAUAAUAUAUUGAACCGCAUGGUUCAAUAGUGAAAGACGGUUUUGCUGUCACUUAUAGAUGGAUCCGCGCCGCAUUAGCUAGUUGGUAAGGUAACGGCUUACCAAGGCAACGAUGCGUAGCCGACCUGAGAGGGUGAUCGGCCACCCUGGAACUGAGACCCGGUCCAGACUCCUACGGGAGGCAGCAGUAGGGAAUCUUCCGCAAUGGGCGAAAGCCUGACGGAGCAACGCCGCGGGAGUGAUGAAGGUCUUCGGAUCGUAAAACUCUGUUAUUAGGGAAGAACAAAUGUGUAAGUAACUAUGCACGUCUUGACGGUACCUAAUCAGAAAGCCACGGCUAACUACGU